This 786-nucleotide long non-coding RNA is filed under the name Anas platyrhynchos platyrhynchos (common mallard). Its description in RNAcentral is "lncRNA (ENSAPLG00000021114.1)". The record is from RNAcentral. Lineage: Eukaryota; Metazoa; Chordata; Aves; Anseriformes; Anatidae.
GAGGGAGAGAAGGAAACCAGAUGAAGGAGGCCAAGUGCUUUACAAACCAGUGAGCCUCAGUGGAGUUAACGUCAGUGGAGAGACUAGCCCGGCAGAUAACCAAAGGCACACGUUUCUGAAUAACAAGCUUUAGUCUCUGCCUCAGACAAACUGAACAAACCUGCAGAAAAGGACAAAUGUAAGCAUUUAAAAGGGUGAAUCCCCCUGAAGGCAUCCUCUGAUCAGAUUGGUUCAGACUUCCCAUUGCAGCUCCAUAAUCAUUUAACUUAAAAGCUGAUAUAUCCUUUCCUCUCCAUCCCAAUCUCACCCACAGUGAGGCAAAGCAGAACUGUCACAUUCUCCACAGGUCUCCAAAGCUCUAUGGGCUCCCAAGACAAUGGGAUGCCCAGAAAACAAGAUUUAUUAUGCUGGAUCAUGUGACUGGAACAGAUGUCCUCGACACAGGCAGCUCAUGCUGGCGUCACAGCACAGGAUACAACACAGGAACUUGAUUUGUCCAGGAUACACAUGAGCUUCUAACAGUCAAGGACCUUGAUCAUAUGUGAGAAUAUUUGUGCCAAAGGUUGGUGUACUUUCCUUAAAGCACUUUCUAGUACUAUUUCUACAAAGAGCUGAGUCUCAGAGUUAAAGUACAAAGGAUUAAAUGCUUGUUAGUUUAGAAAGCUUUCUUCCUGUCCACCUUCCUGCUUGCAGGGAGUCUCAAUAUGCAAGGGCCUUCUCCACAUGUACAAUAUGACUUGUAAUUGUCAAACAUGCUGAAAAUAUAAACAACUUUCUUUCACUGAU